This 76-nucleotide transfer RNA is filed under the name Helicobacter pylori. RNAcentral describes it as "tRNA-Phe". It matches the Rfam family "tRNA". From Rfam's summary of the family: Transfer RNA (tRNA) molecules are approximately 80 nucleotides in length. Their secondary structure includes four short double-helical elements and three loops (D, anti-codon, and T loops). Further hydrogen bonds mediate the characteristic L-shaped molecular structure. tRNAs have two regions of fundamental functional importance: the anti-codon, which is responsible for specific mRNA codon recognition, and the 3' end, to which the tRNAs corresponding amino acid is attached (by aminoacyl-tRNA synthetases). tRNAs cope with the degeneracy of the genetic code in two manners: having more than one tRNA (with a specific anti-codon) for a particular amino acid; and 'wobble' base-pairing, i.e. permitting non-standard base-pairing at the 3rd anti-codon position. The record is from RNAcentral. Lineage: Bacteria; Pseudomonadati; Campylobacterota; Epsilonproteobacteria; Campylobacterales; Helicobacteraceae. RNAcentral also lists the same sequence under 337 other names.
GGCCCGGUAGCUCAGUCGGUAGAGCAGAGGAUUGAAAAUCCUUGUGUCGGCGGUUCGAUUCCGUCCCAGGCCACCA